Long non-coding RNA from Anguilla rostrata (American eel), 2920 nucleotides. RefSeq lists it as uncharacterized. Lineage: Eukaryota; Metazoa; Chordata; Actinopteri; Anguilliformes; Anguillidae. The record is from RefSeq and is a predicted model, not a curated record. The transcript has 3 exons.
GAGGUGAGUCUUCUGUCGUCGUUUGAAAUGGGUCAGUGUCUCAGCUGUUCUGACCUCCACAGGGAGGUCAUUCCACCAUCGUGGGGCCAGAACAGACAGGAGAUGUGUUCUGGAAGUGCAGGUGCGAAGAGGGGGAGGUGCUAGGCGUCCUGAGGUAGCAGAACGGAGGGAUCUGGCUGGCAUGUAGGGUUUGAAUAUCUUGUGGAGGUUGCUGGGGCUGAUCCCUUGACUGCCUGGUAUGCUAGGACCAAUGUUUUAAAUUUGAUGCGAGCUAUAACAGGCAGCCAGUGGAGGGUAGUGUGCAGGGGAGUUACGUGGGAGUGUCUGGGGAGGUUGAAGACCAGACGAGCCGCAGCAUUCUGAAUGAGUUGCAGGGGUCUGGUGGCAGAUGCCGGUAGUCCAGCCAGAAGAGAGUUGCAGUAGUCCAGGCGGGAUAGAACCAUUGCUUGGACCAGGAGCUGGGUUGAGUAGGUGGUGAGAAAGGGGCGGAUUCUGUGGAUGUUGUACAGGAAAAAUCUGCAUGCCCGGGUUACUGCUGCAAUGUUGUUGGAGAGGGACAGCCUGUUGUCCAUCACCACUCUGAGAUUCUUGGCGGAGGGUGAUGAUGUCACUACGGUGUCCCCUAGGGAAAUGGAAAAGUCGAGGAGGGGAGAGGAUAGAGCAGGAAUAAAGAUUAGCUCCGUCUUUCCCGGGUUGAGCUUCAGGUGGUGAUUGUCCAUCCAGCUCUGAAUGUACCUCAGGCAAGCGGAGAUGCGGGCAGGGACCUGUGUGUCCGAUGGGGAGAAGGAGAGAAAGAGUUGCGUGUCGUCGGCAUAGGAGUGAUAGGACAAGCUAUGGGCAGAUAUUACAGGGCCAAGGGAUCUGGUGUACAAGGAGAAGAGAAGGGGACCGAGGACUGAGCCCUGGGGAACUCCAGUGGUGAGGGUACGGGGUGGUGAUACCUUACCCGCCCAGGCAACCUGGAAGGAACGGUCAGAGAGCGAACUCCACCCAACCUGCAUCCACUGACACUGAUUCAGAGAACUCCACCCAACCUGCAGCCACUGACACUGAUUCAGUGAACCCCAACCAACCUGCAGUCUCUACCUCACUGGCCUUUCCUGCAGCUGUUGGAGUUCUGGCUCCACAAGGAGUCCUAGCUACAAAGAAAUGAAUCAAAGUGCCUUAUAAACACAAAACUGGAUCUCAGAAAAGAAAAACUUGAUGGCUUUAAAAAAAAAGGCAGUCACAACUCAAUCAUGGCAGAACUCUGACCACAACUAGCCUUCAUGAGGAAUUGCAUUAGUGUUGCUAUGAAAUUAGCGGUGGUCGAAGAACUCGGAAAGCCACGCAUGAUGGACGUAACCUGCAAAGCAAGUCCCACGAGGCAAGCGGCCUGUGAGAAGGAUCAAGCUGCGUGUCUUGGAACAGAAGAAAAGGGUGAACAGCUUCCCCUUUUCCACUACAACUCCUAAAUAUUUUGUACUGGAAAUCAGGAAGCAUUCCAACAACGGAACCAAUAUCAAGGACUCAAGUAAGGCUAUAAUUUUGGGCAUAUAGCAAAAUUGGCGACGGACUAAAUGUAACAACAUUUAUGAUUGAAUGUACAUGACAGUGCUAAUGGUUAUUGUGUUUUAAUGAUUAAUAAACAUUCCAUGUGUUACCGUUCUCUUGUGGUUGGCUCCUAGGCCAUCCACCAUGCUGCGGUAGUUUUAAUAUAUAUCACACAGGGUCCGCACGGACCUAUGCGGACGGCCGCGCGCAGCCCUAAAUUUGUGACCGUGCGGACUGUACGCAUAGCAAGCGCGCCGACUGCGCAUGCUCCAGAUAACAAAAUUUAAUGGAUGCUUUUUUUGAUGAGAGUUGUGCGAGGAGAUCCGCCGUUACCCACAUUUAUAUUGCCUAUCUGGGCAUUCAUAAAAAUAUUCUUUCACCACUCAAAAAUCGUAUUCCGUCAUAGCAACAAGAUAAAUCCAACAUUAGCCCUAAGAUAUGCCAAUACAGCAGUGACAACGCUGCUGACUGAAUAAUGAAGUUUUUAAAAAUGAUACCAUGUCAUUCUACAGUCAAUAUCUGGGACUAAAUAUUGAAUAAAUAUACAACCUUCCCAUUGGUUUUAAGCGUAAAGAAGUCCCUUUUGAGUCUGAGUGGUCAUAUAUUGUUUUUGACAAUCCGUUUGUGAAAUACACGCGCAUUUGUGAUGCCUGGGUACCUUCCAAAAUAGCUGUGCUUAAUACCACACCUGUUGUUUACGACGUUGUCGCCCUUUUUAGUACAGUCUGGCUUGAUUGACAAUUCAUUUAUUCAGUAGGUGAAUAUUCAUUCAUUUAUUUUUACAUUCUCUGGAUUAGCGGUGGUCGAAGAACCAGGAGAGCCACGCACAUCCGAUGCAUCCUGCAGAGAAAGUCCCAGGAACAAGGAUCAGGGUGCGUGUUUUGGAUCCAACCAUGCGAAAAGGGCUAACGGCUUACCCUUUUCCACCACAACUCACACAGACUUUGCACUGGAAACCAGGAAACAUUUCCAACAACGCGACCAAAGGACACUCAAGACAAGGACCAACAGCCCCAAAUGCGGCUCAAUAUGUCUCAGCUUGCUAUAACCUGAGGGACACUGAGUGACCAUCCUACAUAAAUAUAAUUAUCUAUUUAUUUAUUUAUUUUAUUUUAUUAUUAUUAUUCUUUUAUUUUAUCUUAUUUUUUUCUUUAAAUGCUUGUGCCGAUUGAACAUUAAUAUUGUUAUUGUUCUGUUUAUUUUAUAGAAUGUUCAACUGUUAUUAGUAUUCCACUGUAAAUAUGUAUUUUGAAUUGAUUCAUGAUGCUUUGGCAAUAUGUACAUAUGUAUUUCCAUUCCACUGUAAAUAUGUAUUUUGAAUUGAUUCAUGAUGCUUUGGCAAUAUGUACAUAUGUAUUUCCUGCCAAUAAAGCAAUUUGAAUUUGAA